GGGGGGGUACCAGAGCGGUCAAAUGGGGCAGACUGUAAAUCUGUUGGCUUAGCCUUCGGAGGUUCGAAUCCUCCCCCCCCCACCA
Molecule: transfer RNA, 85 nt
Filed under: Bacteroidales bacterium
Lineage: Bacteria; Pseudomonadati; Bacteroidota; Bacteroidia; Bacteroidales
Also listed under: 1 other name
Description: tRNA-Tyr
Rfam family: tRNA
About the family: Transfer RNA (tRNA) molecules are approximately 80 nucleotides in length. Their secondary structure includes four short double-helical elements and three loops (D, anti-codon, and T loops).
Source: RNAcentral